RNAcentral lists this ribosomal RNA (253 nucleotides) under uncultured bacterium. Its description in RNAcentral is "partial 16S ribosomal RNA". It matches the Rfam family "Bacterial small subunit ribosomal RNA", at positions 524 to 776 of the family's 1533-position model. The record is from RNAcentral.
UACGUAGGGGGCAAGCGUUGUCCGGAAUCAUUGGGCGUAAAGAGCGCGUAGGCGGCCCAGUAAGUCCGCUCUGAAAGUCAGGGGCUCAACCCCUGGAUGCGGGUGGAUACUGCCGAGCUAGAGUGCGGAAGGGGCAACUGGAAUUCCCAGUGUAGCGGUGAAAUGCGUAGAUAUUGGGAAGAACACCUGAGGCGAAGGCGGGUUGCUGGGCCGACACUGACGCUGAGGCGCGAAAGCCAGGGGAGCGAACGGG